RNAcentral lists this transfer RNA (85 nucleotides) under Felis catus (domestic cat). It matches the Rfam family "tRNA". Rfam says of the family: Transfer RNA (tRNA) molecules are approximately 80 nucleotides in length. The record is from Rfam by way of RNAcentral. Lineage: Eukaryota; Metazoa; Chordata; Mammalia; Carnivora; Felidae.
GCCUGGGUGGCUCAUUUGGUUGAGUGUCUGACUUUGGCUCAGGUCAUGAUCUCCCAGUCUGUGAGUUUGAGCCCCGCAUCAGGCU